CAGUAGCCACGGGAAUACAGAGGGUGCGAGCGUUAAUCAGAUUUACUGGGCGUAAAGCGUGCGUAGGCGGCUUCUUAAGUCGGAUGUGAAAUCCCUGAGCUUAACUUAGGAAUUGCAUUCGAUACUGGGAAGCUAGAGUAUGGGAGAGGAUGGUAGAAUUCCAGGUGUAGCGGUGAAAUGCGUAGAGAUCUGGAGGAAUACCGAUGGCGAAGGCAGCCAUCUGGCCUAAUACUGACGCUGAGGUACGAAAGCAUGGGGAGCAAACAGGAUUAGAUACCCCAGUAGUCCCUGUCUCUUAUAC
Molecule: ribosomal RNA, 301 nt
Filed under: uncultured bacterium
Lineage: Bacteria
Description: partial 16S ribosomal RNA
Rfam family: Bacterial small subunit ribosomal RNA
Source: RNAcentral